Molecule: ribosomal RNA, 634 nt
Filed under: Penicillium daleae
Lineage: Eukaryota; Fungi; Ascomycota; Eurotiomycetes; Eurotiales; Aspergillaceae
Description: eukaryotic LSU rRNA
Rfam family: Eukaryotic large subunit ribosomal RNA
Source: RNAcentral
UUGACCUCGGAUCAGGUAGGGAUACCCGCUGAACUUAAGCAUAUCAAUAAGCGGAGGAAAAGAAACCAACAGGGAUUGCCUCAGUAACGGCGAGUGAAGCGGCAAGAGCUCAAAUUUGAAAGCUGGCUCCUUCGGGGUCCGCAUUGUAAUUUGCAGAGGAUGCUUCGGGAGCGGCCCCCAUCUAAGUGCCCUGGAACGGGCCGUCAUAGAGGGUGAGAAUCCCGUCUGGGAUGGGGUGCCCGCGCCCGUGUGAAGCUCCUUCGACGAGUCGAGUUGUUUGGGAAUGCAGCUCUAAAUGGGUGGUAAAUUUCAUCUAAAGCUAAAUACUGGCCGGAGACCGAUAGCGCACAAGUAGAGUGAUCGAAAGAUGAAAAGCACUUUGAAAAGAGAGUUAAACAGCACGUGAAAUUGUUGAAAGGGAAGCGCUUGCGACCAGACUCGCCCGCGGGGUUCAGCCGGCAUUCGUGCCGGUGUACUUCCCCACGGGCGGGCCAGCGUCGGUUUGGGCGGCCGGUCAAAGGCCCUCGGAAUGUAACGCCCCCCGGGGCGUCUUAUAGCCGAGGGUGCCAUGCGGCCAGCCCGGACCGAGGAACGCGCUUCGGCUCGGACGCUGGCAUAAUGGUCGUAAGCGACC